This 1077-nucleotide long non-coding RNA is filed under the name Trifolium pratense (red clover). Its description in RNAcentral is "long non-coding RNA (TPRA_LNC005557)". Lineage: Eukaryota; Viridiplantae; Streptophyta; Magnoliopsida; Fabales; Fabaceae. The record is from RNAcentral.
GACUAGAAUCAAAAGAAUGUCGAACCUAGUUUAGUAAUUCCAAGUCUUCCACCUAAAAAUAAAAACAAAUUAUAUAAGAACCCCUAAUUAAGAAAAAAUAAGCAAUAUUGUCACUAAUGACUACUGAUAUGCAGUUAAAAUAGAAAAAGUUAAAAAUAGGAUCACAGCCUGCCAUAUCGAACUUGAGAAAUAUUGAUUUACAAAAUAAUCACUCAUAAGCAAUAAAAUACUCUUCUACAAGUGUUAAACAAUAGCAUAGCAGUAAGCAUCAAGCUAAAAUAUUGGCUAUAGUUCUUUUGCUCAAUAUNNNNNNNNNNNNNNNNCACAACCACAUGAUUUUUUAAAAUGUUACAAGACAUUAUCUAGUCUCCAUAUUUUGUUAGCUCUGGUUCAAACAUACAAAAGAAUAGUAGGCAGUAGCAAGAAUAUUGGUAACAUCACUAACUGCAAACUAAUUACUAACUACUUACAAUUCUAACACACACACAAUAGCAAAAUAAUGCAUCACUGUAAGUCUUGAACAAAAUAAUACAGCAAGUCUUGAACAAAAUAAAAAUAAAAAAACCUUGUGAAGAAAGAAGGAUGAGAGUUCAUAUAUAACAAGCUACACUGCUGAUAAUAACCCAUAUUCAUAUCCCCUUCUCAAUGAGUUUGGACAAUAGCAUAUUAGUAACACUGUAAUCUUACCUGGACAAAAAGAAUAAAAAAUGAGGGGUGCUAGUGUCACACCCUCUAACACACUCUUUUAAAGAUGAAGACGAAGCUCACAAUAAAGAUGAAAGACGACAACAUCCACCGGAACACAUUAUAGGUCCAACGAUUACCAGAACACGUGAUAUAGACGGCGACUAAAUAAGACUGCAAUUAAGACGAUGGACGGCGUCAAGUGGCGUGACCUUAGCAUUACUCAUAAAAAUUGAAGCUUAGAUCAUUUCAACAUUGGCCAUAAUAGUGUCACUAAGAAAUACCAAACCAAAUACAAAAACUUUAACAAAAUUUAGGCACAAACUUAUUGGUACCACAAACUCAAGGUGAGCCUGGAUAUCACAAAAGGAAGGCAAUAAUGUUACAGCUGAU